RNAcentral lists this ribosomal RNA (492 nucleotides) under uncultured bacterium. Its description in RNAcentral is "partial 16S ribosomal RNA". It matches the Rfam family "Bacterial small subunit ribosomal RNA", at positions 29 to 507 of the family's 1533-position model. The record is from RNAcentral.
AGUGAACGCUGGCGGUAUGCCUAACACAUGCAAGUCGAACGGCAGCACAGUAAGAGCUUGCUCUUACGGGUGGCGAGUGGCGGACGGGUGAGGAAUACAUCGGAAUCUACUUUUUCGUGGGGGAUAACGUAGGGAAACUUACGCUAAUACCGCAUACGACCUACGGGUUAAAGCAGUGGAUCUUCGGACCUUGCGCGAUUCAAUUAGCCGAUGUCGGAUUAGCUAGUUGGCGGGGUAAAGGCCCACCAAGGCGACGAUCCGUAGCUGGUCUGAGAGGAUGAUCAGCCACACUGGAACUGAGACACGGUCCAGACUCCUACGGGAGGCAGCAGUGGGGAAUAUUGGACAAUGGGCGAAAGCCUGAUCCAGCAAUACCGCGUGGGUGAAGAAGGCCUUCGGGUUGUAAAGCCCUUUUGUUGGGAAAGAAAAGCAGCAGGUUAAUACCCCGCUGUUCUGACGGUACCCAAAGAAUAAGCACCGGCUAACUUCGUG